GACGAACGCUGGCGGCGUGCCUAAUACAUGCAAGUAGAACGCUGAAGGAGGAGCUUGCUUCUCUGGAUGAGUUGCGAACGGGUGAGUAACGCGUAGGUAACCUGCCUGGUAGCGGGGGAUAACUAUUGGAAACGAUAGCUAAUACCGCAUAAUAGCAGUUGUUGCAUGAUAACUGUUUGAAAGGUGCAAUUGCACCACUACCAGAUGGACCUGCGUUGUAUUAGCUAGUUGGUGGGGUAACGGCUCUCCAAGGCGACGAUACAUAGCCGACCUGAGAGGGUGAUCGGCCACACUGGGACUGAGACACGGCCCAGACUCCUACGGGAGGCAGCAGUAGGGAAUCUUCGGCAAUGGACGGAAGUCUGACCGAGCAACGCCGCGUGAGUGAAGAAGGUUUUCGGAUCGUAAAGCUCUGUUGUAAGAGAAGAACGAGUGUGAGAGUGGAAAGUUCACACUGUGACGGUAUCUUACCAGAAAGGGACGGCUAACUACGUG
This 495-nucleotide ribosomal RNA is filed under the name uncultured bacterium. RNAcentral's name for it is "partial 16S ribosomal RNA". It matches the Rfam family "Bacterial small subunit ribosomal RNA", at positions 28 to 507 of the family's 1533-position model. The record is from RNAcentral.